CAAAUAACAAAUAUCACAAAUUUUCCGAAUAUUUGCUUCGUGCCCAGGGCUAUCUCCAACAGUUAGUUACUCACAAGUCACAAGUAUUUGUUUUUUCUUCAAAAAAAAACAAAACAAAAACAUAUUACUUUCUUCUCUACAACUAUAUCAUCACCACACAAAUCGUUGUCCACAUUGUUUUCAUUCUAUCCUAAAUCGUUAUCUACAUUGUAUCUUUC
RNAcentral lists this long non-coding RNA (218 nucleotides) under Capsella rubella. RNAcentral describes it as "long non-coding RNA (CRUB_LNC002514)". The record is from RNAcentral. Lineage: Eukaryota; Viridiplantae; Streptophyta; Magnoliopsida; Brassicales; Brassicaceae.